GUCGAACGCUGGCGGCGUGCCUAACACAUGCAAGUUGAGCGCUGGAGGUUGGUUCUUGUACCAACUGGAUGAGCAGCGAACGGGUGAGUAACGCGUGGGUGAUCUGCCGUUGAGCGGGGGACAACAUAUGGAAACGAAUUCUAACACCGCAUAAAAACUUUAAACACAAGGUUUAUGUUUGAAAGAUGUAAUUGCAUCACCCAAAGCUGAUCCCAGGUUGUAUUAGCUAGUUGGCGGGGUAAGGGCCCACUAGGGCGAUGAUACAUAGCCGACUUGAGAGGAGAAUCAGCAAAACGGGAACUAGGACACGCUCCAGCUUCCUACGGGAGGCAGAGGAGGGAAAUUUUGGACAUUGAGGAAAAGCCGGAUCAAGACCGCCGCGUGGUGGGAAGAAGGUCUUCGAACGUUAAACUCUGUUAGGAUAGAAGGAAGGUCGGGAGGGUAGUAAGUUCAUGUAGUGACGGUAACAACAGAGAAAGCAACGGCUAACUACGUG
Molecule: ribosomal RNA, 496 nt
Filed under: uncultured bacterium
Lineage: Bacteria
Description: partial 16S ribosomal RNA
Rfam family: Bacterial small subunit ribosomal RNA
Source: RNAcentral